Nerophis lumbriciformis (worm pipefish) is the source of this 4628-nucleotide long non-coding RNA. RefSeq lists it as uncharacterized. The record is from RefSeq and is a predicted model, not a curated record. NCBI's taxonomy places the organism in Eukaryota, Metazoa, Chordata, Actinopteri, Syngnathiformes, Syngnathidae.
UUUGUGUCUUGGGUGUGGCUUGAGUCCUGGGGAGCGGGGAAUCAAAAGAAAAAGAAUUCAGAAAAAAAAAAUCAUGGUUUUUGACGUCAUCCGGGCGAAGCCGGGCUGGCUGCUGCUUGCUUCCGCCCGGAGAGGGAGGGGCUUGUGGGAGCGGCGUGUCCUGCUGGCUCGCGGAAGUUCUACCUGACGUCCUUCGUCUGGAGCGGCGCUUCCGCGGCUGAGGUGACGCUGUGUCGUCCUGGGACCAAAUGAAGUUUCUGUACUCCACGGAGGAGUAGCGCAGAGUUUCAUCCUCCAUCGCGCACAGGACCGCCCAAGAAGCCUCGUCCAAAAUGUCCAACUCGGCCAACUUAGGUGCGGAAAAGCGGGUCUGCUGACGACCUACUGUCAGGACUUGGUCUUGGUUGUUUGCUUUUCCGGGAUGCAACGGAAAGUUGGCACGGGCGAGACGGGAACCAAGGUACAUGAUUUAUUUAUUAAAAAAAAGAUCAAACAAAAAGCGCGCACAAUGGCGGAGAAUAAGCUAUGAAACCUAAAGACUAUAGCAAAAAAGUACAAAUGAAAAGCACGCACAGUGGCGGAAACUAUGAACAAUUAAACAAAACAUUAACUGUGGCUUGAGAAACAAAAACUUACUUGGCAUGGAACCGGCAUGAAAAAGGAGCAGCAAGGAUCAUAAGGGUGUGCAGAAGCAUAUAUGGGGUGCGAGGUCGUCAGGCCGAACAACAGAAAAUGAAUUAACUUAAAUACUUAUGGACAUGAUUAACAACAGGUGCGUGACUCAAAACAGGUGCGUGACAUGACAGGUGAAACUAAUGGGUAACUAUGGUGACAAAACAAAACUGCACAAAAAGUCCAAAAAUAAAGCCUGAUCACACAGACAUGACAAUGAGAAACCCAUUGAGAUCAAGAUCUCUUUCACAAGGGUGACCUGGCCAAGAGGUCAACAGCACAUGUCACAGAGCAGUUUCAAAAAAAAAUAAUACGUUAAGACAUACAUUUUAAAAUACAUAAGAGAACUGUAAAACAAAAAAGAUUUACACCUUUUAAAAACACAGGCACUGUGCAAACGUCUCUCUAAGGCUCCAAAUGGAAGUAGUUCUGUAAGUUUCAGUUUCGUCUGCAAUGCAUUCCAUGCCAUAGGAGCAGCAAUGCCAAAAGCUCUUUUGCCAAAUUCCGUCCGUUAAUGAGGAACAGUUAAAAUAUACAAAUUGUUAGAACGUAAUGCAUAAGAGCUGCUUUUUCUUUGUAACAAGAGUACACAAGUAUGGAGGUAUUAAACCUAAAAGAGCCUUAUAAAUGAUAGUCAGCCAAUGUGUGUAUCUGCGUGCACUCAAUGAAGAUAAGUCUGACUUCAUAUACAGUUGACAACACAAGCACACAAGUGCCUCAAACGGCUUUACAAACUCACAACAACAUCUUCUGAUCUAAACCCACAUCAGGCCAAGAACAAAUGUCAAGCUCCAGACAGGGAAAAAAGAAGAAACCUUGAGAAGGGACCACAGAUGUAGGGAUCCCCCUUCCGGAGUGACCGGCUGCAAUGGAUGUUGAGUAUAGUAAUUAAAUACUCCGACCACAGAGCUUUCCUCCAGAAGGUCUUAUCUUUGUCCAUGUGAUGUCAGAUGAAACAAAAAUGUAGCUGUUUGGCCACAAUACCCAGCAAUAUGUUUGGAGGAAAAAAGGUGAGGCCUUUAAUCCCAGGAACACCAGCCCUACCGUCAAGCAUGGUGGUGGUAGUAUUAUGCUCUGGGCCUGUUUUGCUGCCAAUGGAACUGGUGCUUUACAGAGAGUAAAUAAGACAAUGAAAAAGGAGGAUUACCUACAAAUUAUUCAGGACAACCUAAAAUCAUCAGCCCGGAGGUUGGGACUUGGGCGCAGUUGGGUGUUCCAACAGGACAAUGACCCCAAACACACGUCAAAAGUGGUAAAGGAAUGGCUAAAUCAGGCGAGAAUUAAUGUUUUAGAAUGGCCUUCCCAAAGUCCUGACUUAAACGUGUGGACAAUGCUAAAGAAACAAGUCCAUGUCAGAAAACCAACACAUUUGGCUGAACUGCACCAAUUUUGUCAAGAGGAGUGGUCAAAAAUUCAACUAGAAGAUUGUGGAUGGCUACCAAAAGCGCCUUAUUGCAGUGAAACUUGCCAAGGGACAUGUAACCAAACAUUAACAUUACUGUAUGUAUACUUUUGACCCAGCAGAUUUGGUCACAUUUUCAGUAGACACAUAAUAAAUUCAUAAAAGAACCAAACUUCAUGAAUGUUUUUUGUGAUCAACAAGUAUGUGCUCCAAUCACUCUAUCACAAAAAAAUAAGAGUUGUAGAAAUGAUUGGAAAUUCAAGACUGCCAUGGCAUUAUUUUCUUUACAAGUGUAUGUAAACUUUUGACCACGACUGUAUAUUAGUACAACAUCAUCUCUUCUGAGUGUAAUUCCUUAACAACACAGAAAAAGGGAAAUAAAUACAAACAAGAGUCUGUAUUAGCUGUAGCUGAGGUGUUGAAGUGGCUCGUCUUAUAAUGGAAACAUGUUUGGAUGAACCCAGAUGCAAUACAGUAUCUUUUAAGCAAUCCUGUUUCUGGUGAAAUGUCUUAGAUUGAAGUCUUUAGAAACAACACCACAAUCACAACAGCUAGUUUCAUAAUAUUUGCCUUGGUGGGCCUUUUUUUUGUCUUUCAAAUAUCCAUCUUUAUGAUGGAAACUAGAAUCCCGCUAACUUCACAGCUCAUAUUGUGCUGUCUGUCUGCGUCAUCUGAGGCACUCACAUGGUCCGGCUGUGGUUACCAAACUGGGAUCUCUGAAUAUCCCUCUCCGCAAAUUAGGGCCUGUGGUCAUCGGCAAUCUGAAACACGGUGAUAAAAAUAAAUGACAGUGACAUAGGAAUAAAAAGCAGACGCCCACGAGCAGGAAACAACACAUGUUGAAGUUCUCUGAGGAGUGAUGACAUCAUCUGUGACAGAUUCUCCAAUUGUCUCACCUAACACUGAAAAUGGCCACAAAACACCUUUUGUCUCUGACUAGCAUGAGUCACAAUGAUCUCAAUUGAGGCAACGUAGUGUUUGAAGCCGUAAGGACACUGAAUCAUUUCAGUGACACAAACCAUGUGACUUGCAUGCCAAGCUCCAUUAAACAUUUUCUCUGUGUCAGAUUCUGAAUGAUGAUCGUACGGUUUGGAUCACAUCAUCACACAGUUAUUUAAUUAGUGAGUAGAGUCCUGGUAUUUUCAGUAGACCAAUGAAGGAUAUGUUUGACUAUAAGGUUUGUUUGUUUGUCUGUUAUAACUCCAUACGAUGUAAGAAAAUGUGCGUCAUAGUCACAAGUCAACAAGGAAUGACUCCAAACAAGUCCUUUUCUUACUGUAAUUAAACCUCAUGAAGCCCUAAUUAAAUAAACACAGGUCUCAUUAAGUUGUUCAUUAAGUAAUUUCAUCCUUUUAUUCCUUCAUUAAGUCUCUUUUCAUCUCUCCUCUUAGGGACCGUGGGAGUGCUGAGGUGUAAGGGAUCAUGACCUUAAUUUUCUCCAAGACAGACGUUUAAUUAACACAAGAGGAAUCUUCGCCGGCUACAGACCGACAAUUGGAAUGUUCCAGGGAAUUAAGACAUGUGAGCAGGAGGGCAUGAGAAGAGAAGCAAUAAUAGCAGACGGGGUGGAGGCUGGCCGACAGGAGAUACCACAAUGUCCAAAUAAGCAGAAACGCACCAGAUCUUUGGAGGAUGUUAAGCUGACACAUUAUGGCUCAACCCUUUCAUUUUCUACCUGAGACAUUCACGGUGCAGGAAGGAACAAUGCCAUAACUGCAGUACUUACUGUGACACUAUGUCGGACAACAGGAAGUCAUCUUUUGUGACAUUAUCAAAGGCUAAAAACUGUAAAAAAAUAAAUAAAAAUACCAUCCUGUAUACUGUUAUUGUUCAGAAAAAAUGGUUUAAAUGGACAGCAACAAUAUGCAAUGAACUGUAUUUGUUAUACAUAUAUUACCUGUUUGUAUUUUUUUUUAUACCUACAUACUGUUUAUUCGUAUAUACUGCAAAUGUUACUGCUUCCUUCUUGUAAAGAUGCUGAAAAAAGGGAAUUCUGCUGACAUGGAAUCCUUAAAGUCUUAAAGCAAUCCUGAUAUACAAUUUCCAUAAAACCAGCUAAAAAAGCACUUUUUUGGAAGAUCCUUUCCCAGGGGGAUUUUAAACCAUAUGGGACUUAAGGUAUGUUGUCAGUAUAAAGUACUUAUUUUCAGGGAAGCUUCAUUUACACAGCAUAUGAUUUGUGACUUUGGACCAAACUUUUAGAAAAGACAGGGUAAUUCUGUACUAUCGCUUUCAUAAUUUAUGACAGAGUCUUGCGGGCAAGCCUGUUCGCAUCGUAUAUCUAGAGAAUUUUUUUUUUUCUUGACGUACAGAAUUAUAUGCUAUAUUUUACAUCAUGUCCUUAAUAAAACGGUGUUUGUCAAGCUGCUGAUACAGUAAAGUCUUCUGAAACCAAAUGCCCCCUCCAAUUAAGGAUGUCAACUGUACAUUUUCAACCGGCAAAUCAUAGCCUUCAAAUCAUGCAAUCAAUCUGCCAAAACCAUUCAGAAUCCUGGCCAAUAACAUCUGGACAGGAGUUAUAUUGAAUGAUGCUGACAAUCAAAGAAAUAAACAA